RNAcentral lists this long non-coding RNA (276 nucleotides) under Mytilus galloprovincialis (Mediterranean mussel). The record is from RNAcentral. Lineage: Eukaryota; Metazoa; Mollusca; Bivalvia; Mytilida; Mytilidae.
GUUUGUUUUCUCUUAUUUUUUAGUGUAAAUUCACAUUGCGAUAAUUAAGACGUGUCACAGUACUUGUCUAUCCCAAAUUCAUGUAUUUGGUUUUGAUGUUAUAUUUGUUAUUCUCGUGGGAUUUUGUCUGAUGCUUGGUCCGUUUCUGUGUGUGUUACAUUGUAGUGUUGUGUCGUUGUUUUCCUCUUAUAUUUAAUGCGUUUCCCUCAGUUUUAGUUUGUUACCCCGAUUUUGUUUUUUUGUCCAUGGAUUUAUGAGUUUGAACAGCGGUAUACU